AGAGAUUAAAUUUUCGGUUCCGGCCGGACGAAACAACAGGUGCUGCAUGGCUGUCGUCAGCUCGUGUCGUGAGAUGUUGGUUAAGUCCCGCAACGAGCGCAACCCUCACUUUUAGUUGCCAUCAUUAAGUUGGGCACUCUGAAAGAACUGCCAGUGAUAAGCUGGAGGAAGGUGGGGAUGACGUCAAGUCCUCAUGGCCCUUACGUGUUGGGCUACACACGUGCUACAAUGGUAUCUACAACAGGAAGCAAGACGGCGACGUUAAGCAAAUCCUUAAAAGAUACCUCAGUUCGGAUUGCACUCUGCAACUCGAGUGCAUGAAGCUGGAAUUACUAGUAAUCGUGGAUCAGCGUGCCACGGUGAAUGCGUUCCCGGGUCUUGUACACACCGCCCGUCACACCAUGGGAGUUGGUUCUACCUUAAGGCAAGGUUUCAAACCCUUGACCACGGUAUAGUCAGCGACUGGGGUG
This 470-nucleotide ribosomal RNA is filed under the name uncultured bacterium ECS17. RNAcentral describes it as "bacterial SSU rRNA". It matches the Rfam family "Bacterial small subunit ribosomal RNA", at positions 997 to 1482 of the family's 1533-position model. The record is from RNAcentral.